Molecule: long non-coding RNA, 1758 nt
Organism: Cuculus canorus (common cuckoo)
Lineage: Eukaryota; Metazoa; Chordata; Aves; Cuculiformes; Cuculidae
Exons: 4
Source: RefSeq, a predicted model, not a curated record
CUUCCCUAGUUUCUCCUCCGCUCCGCUCAGUUUCGCUCUAUGGACAGAUCAGGAACCCUGGACGCGGAGGAGCUCAAGGUUAUUUUUCCUUUCUAUGAAGAAGAAGUAAGCUCAUGCAACACCAGAGUGGAAAUGCCAGUUAUAAAAGAUGGAUGAAAAGUGGAUAAUUGUAAGUGAGGAAGUCAGAAGACCUGGUGCUUGAACUUCUUAAUACAUAAUUUCAGAAAACUAUCUCUUUGUGGACUGAUAUUCACUGAUACCCAGUGGCAGGUACUACACAAGAUAUUAGAGAAUCCAAACUUAUAUGAGUGCUUCAAUAAAACGCCAAAAGUGUUAUUCUGAGCAGUAAGAAAAUUGGAACGCUGCUAUCCUGGAAUCUGUCCCUCAGCAAAAUAUUACAUGAAAGCAGAUGAACACACAGAGUAAAUAUGUGUUUCAACUACUCCAUGAUGCGUAUCAUCAAUCUAAUUUUUAAAGUCGCUCUGUAUUUUUCAGAGUAGUCUAAAAAUGAUGAAUAAAUUGUAAAAAUUGUCUCUGUAGAUAAUGUAUUCACAUUGUGAUUGUAAAUCCUUGAACUGUAACAGCACAUUUAUCACCUAUCUUGUCACAUUUACUGUUACAUUUUCAACUUGGAUGUGAUUGUAUGUAGCUUCUACCUAAGGAGAACUUUUGGAUUUAUGAAGUGAAAAUGUAGCUACUGAAGUACUGUAUAAUUUUAAAGUUAAAAUGUUGGAGAUUCUUUGUUUUCUUGCUUUGUGCAGAUUUCAGCAAUUAUAUGACAUAUCUUAUAAUAGCAUUUAAUAGCUGUACAAUAUGGUCCGUGCAGCACUUUGUAGCUCUUUACGAGCAAAGAAAAUAUGUAAGGCAUUUACUAAGUGAAUCUUUCCUAGCUGAACACCAUUGCUGUAAAGCUAACAUAUUAAAACACAUUAAACACAUUGAAAUUAAUGAGAUACUUUCUUUCCAUGUCCAGUGGGUACUGUAGUAAGGUUUUGUUUGGGCAGAUAUAGAGGCAGAUUUACGGAAACUAUGAAAGGUUUCAUUACCAGACUGAUAGCCACAGGCAUAAUUCCUAUACUUUUUACCAGUCUUAUCACUAUCAAAAGGACUCUAUGUUCCUGCUAGUUUGCUUUCAAUAUCACAGUCUGCCUCCUGAUUUUUCGCAUAAAAAACAAAAACAUAUUUCCUCCAAAGAAACUGCUCUAAAUUUGUCAGUAAAAUACAGGAACUAUAGAACCUGAUGCAUACCCUAAUUAUCUGUGUCUGAGCUGUAAACAGUGUUUCCAUUCACUCCUAAAGCGUGCUGAAAAAAAUAAGUAUACAAACUUUGUAUUGAAAUUUUGGUGGAAAUGGAAACAGUUAAAAAAGGUCCUCAAAAGGAAAACAAUAUUUUCCUUGGUUUUUUUCAUGUUAGUUACUGUGCUGUGGUAUCUUUCUGCAGUGCAUUACUACAGUGCUUGAAACACAGUAGGUGGUAUUCUUAAGUCAGUAUAGGGGCAAAUUAAGCAUGGUUUCCUGCAAAGUGCCUGCACAGUAUUUAUAAGUUGCAGUUUGCCUAUGUACCUUUGACAUCGAGUGCAAACAACUUAGUGAGCAGUGCAGUGUCCAUCUGAUUUAAACAUUAACUGAUUUAAUGAUUUUCCCUGUUUCAGCUUUUAUAGGCCUAAUUAUGGGCAUUACACAUAGUUGCGUCUUUCAUCCUAAUUAUAUGCUGGCUCAAUGAUUUCUCAUGAUUUAACUACUAAUUGCUAACCAGUA